CCCCUGCGGACCAGUGAACCUCGCCCGAGGGCUCAAUAAAGAAGAUUUUUGCCCUCUUUUUCUCACCUCUCAGCCUUAUUGAUCCAUGGUGCCCUUCCAUUGCCUUUCAUUGGUGCCGAAACCCGGGAGGGGACACCUCCUAAGCCCCCCCAGAGGCUCAGGGGGACUCCCCUCCUGGUCGGAUCAGUCCUCUCCCUCAGUCAGGUCAGGCUUCUCCUCCACGGCCAUCUGUCCAUUUCGUCCGGUUACUUGCUGCCAGGUCGCAGUUGCUGCAGCUACUCCAGUCCAAUUCGGCCGACGCUAGAUCAACUGAGAUGCAAAACCCAUGUUCACAUCAUGAGUGAGUCUUCUAACUCGGACAAUGCAAUCAACAAAUUCUAAGACCAAAUUCCGGUGGCACUGGCUCCAAAGCUCCUGAGUGUGGAAGGAGGUGAACAGGGAAAAGCAGAGAGGACAAAAGUCACAUCCCCUCCCCACAGACCCAUACUGGGGAAGGGUGGAAGAUUUAGCUGCGAGUCAAGUUCAGAAUUUUGAUUAACAUCUUGGCAUGCACAUUCGAAUUUCAGAAUCAAGACUGUUGGCCAUAAAAAAUGACUAUAGCCUUGUGUAUUACCUGAACUGAGCAGUAAAAAAAAAGUCAUGGUCCUUCUGGGGCUUUUAUUCUGAGACAGGAACCCUGAACAGGCAGGAGAAAGGGAAUGUUGACAGAGAAACAAAGACAGUUGGCGACACACGCUGACCGCCAUGCGGACGUCCAUCAAACCCAGCACUGGCCCUGGAAAUUUUCUGCUGAUUUUCUUGAUUGUGAUAUACCUCAGCACUUGACUUGCUGAAUAAGACAACUGUGGCAAUUAUGACUACUGACAAGAAUAUUGUGUAAAUGAUCAAGAAUAACUUGUUAUAUAUCUAGACCAGAUAUAUAUGAAAGAGAAAAUUGACAAAGGUGGAGCAAGUAUCCCAGCUAUUAAUGU
RNAcentral lists this long non-coding RNA (971 nucleotides) under Homo sapiens (human). Its description in RNAcentral is "long intergenic non-protein coding RNA 1287". Lineage: Eukaryota; Metazoa; Chordata; Mammalia; Primates; Hominidae. The record is from RNAcentral.